CAGUUUUCUCAGUGGUUGAUUAUAGUAUCAUACAUUAUAUUCUUAAAUAACCUAGCCUUAGAGAUAAAUCUCUGCAAUCAAUUCUUGAUAAAUUUAAAUAACGAAUUUAUUAACCUGACUGUUGUGAUCCUGACUUUACAUUUCUUCGACUCUGGGAGCUAUGAUCUGUUUGAUGAUGUUAGGUCUUGCUCUAGAUAUAUAUGUAUAUAUGAACAUGUCUGUGAAGCUUUUAUUAUUCUGAAGGUAAGAGUAAUACAAUGUGGAGGAUAAUGCAUCGCUGAUUUGAGAAUAAAAAAAAAGAACAAAAUUCAGCAAAGUAGUACCUUCUAAUGACGGUGUCAUCCAGUGAAAUAUCUCUUGAUGAUGAAACCAUGAAGUUUUGAAUGGAAUCGAUGGUGCAAAUAUGAUCUCUUUAUGUGACUGAGACUGUAUUGCUUAUCUUCAACUUCAUGUUCUUAAGUUGAGUUAUUACUCUAAGGCCAUCCUGCUAGACUGGAUUAAGUGAAAGGAGAUCAUUAAUUUUCACUUUUGAUAAUAAAUGCCUUUAAUGUGAGUUAUUCUUUUGUUGUUUGAAUGCGUACUUGAUGUUGUAAUAAAAUUAGUAGUCAUCUUUUGCUAAUAAAUAUUUGGCAAUGCUUUGUCAGUUGUCUAUGUGCUGUGAAAUGCAUUAUGAAAAUUAACCUUUUUUUUUUUCCUGAGAGCAGCUUAAUAGGAAUUGGUUUCUGCCUGAGGAGGCUUCUCUUAAACGG
This 749-nucleotide unclassified non-coding RNA is filed under the name Hevea brasiliensis (rubber tree). The record is from RNAcentral. Lineage: Eukaryota; Viridiplantae; Streptophyta; Magnoliopsida; Malpighiales; Euphorbiaceae.